UACAGAGGGGGCAAGCGUUGUUCGGAAUUACUGGGCGUAAAGGGCGCGUAGGCGGCCUUCUAAGUCGAACGUGAAAUCCCCGGGCUCAACCCGGGAACUGCGUCCGAUACUGGAAGGCUUGAAUCCGGGAGAGGGAUGCGGAAUUCCAGGUGUAGCGGUGAAAUGCGUAGAUAUCAGGAGGAACACCGGUGGCGAAGGCGGCAUCCUGGACCGGCAUUGACGCUGAGGCGCGAAAGCCAGGGGAGCAAACGGG
RNAcentral lists this ribosomal RNA (253 nucleotides) under uncultured bacterium. Its description in RNAcentral is "partial 16S ribosomal RNA". It matches the Rfam family "Bacterial small subunit ribosomal RNA", at positions 524 to 776 of the family's 1533-position model. The record is from RNAcentral.